GUGGGGAAUAUUGCACAAUGGGGGAAACCCUGAUGCAGCGACGCCGCGUGAGUGAAGAAGUAUUUCGGUAUGUAAAGCUCUAUCAGCAGGGAAGAAAAAAGACGGUACCUGACUAAGAAGCCCCGGCUAACUACGUGCCAGCAGCCGCGGUAAUACGUAGGGGGCAAGCGUUAUCCGGAUUUACUGGGUGUAAAGGGAGCGUAGACGGCGCGGCAAGUCUGAAGUGAAAGGCAGGGGCUUAACCCCUGAACUGCUUUGGAAACUGCCAUGCUAGAGUGCUGGAGAGGUAAGUGGAAUUCCUAGUGUAGCGGUGAAAUGCGUAGAUAUUAGGAGGAACACCAGUGGCGAAGGCGGCUUACUGGACAGUAACUGACGUUGAGGCUCGAAAGCGUGGGGAGCAAACAGGAUUAGAAACCCUAGUAGUCC
RNAcentral lists this ribosomal RNA (426 nucleotides) under uncultured Lachnospiraceae bacterium. RNAcentral describes it as "bacterial SSU rRNA". It matches the Rfam family "Bacterial small subunit ribosomal RNA", at positions 354 to 796 of the family's 1533-position model. The record is from RNAcentral. Lineage: Bacteria; Bacillati; Bacillota; Clostridia; Lachnospirales; Lachnospiraceae.